This 772-nucleotide ribosomal RNA is filed under the name Salmonella enterica. RNAcentral describes it as "partial 23S ribosomal RNA". It matches the Rfam family "Bacterial large subunit ribosomal RNA", at positions 1 to 704 of the family's 2925-position model. The record is from RNAcentral. Lineage: Bacteria; Pseudomonadati; Pseudomonadota; Gammaproteobacteria; Enterobacterales; Enterobacteriaceae.
GGGUUGUGAGGUUAAGCGACUAAGCGUACACGGUGGAUGCCCUGGCAGUCAGAGGCGAUGAAGGGCGUGCUAAUCUGCGAUAAGCGCCGGUAAGGUGAUAUGAACCGUUAUAACCGGCGAUACCCGAAUGGGGAAACCCAGUGUGACUCGUCACACUAUCAUUAACUGAAUCCAUAGGUUAAUGAGGCGAACCGGGGGAACUGAAACAUCUAAGUACCCCGAGGAAAAGAAAUCAACCGAGAUUCCCCCAGUAGCGGCGAGCGAACGGGGAGGAGCCCAGAGCCUGAAUCAGCAUGUGUGUUAGUGGAAGCGUCUGGAAAGGCGCGCGAUACAGGGUGACAGCCCCGUACACAAAAGCGCAUGUGCUGUGAGCUCGAUGAGUAGGGCGGGACACGUGGUAUCCUGUCUGAAUAUGGGGGGACCAUCCUCCAAGGCUAAAUACUCCUGACUGACCGAUAGUGAACCAGUACCGUGAGGGAAAGGCGAAAAGAACCCCGGCGAGGGGAGUGAAAAAGAACCUGAAACCGUGUACGUACAAGCAGUGGGAGCCCCACCACCAAAGCAUUCUCUGGUGUUGAAGGCCCUGCAAAGCAGCAUCGCGGUGGCGGAGCGUCGUUUGCGACGCCCAACACACAAAACAAGCGGUGAGUGCUUUGGGGUGGGGUGACUGCGUACCUUUUGUAUAAUGGGUCAGCGACUUAUAUUCUGUAGCAAGGUUAACCGAAUAGGGGAGCCGGAGGGAAACCGAGUCUUAAUUGGGCGUUAAGUUGCA